ACAACCCUGUCUUGAUUGAU
RNAcentral lists this microRNA (20 nucleotides) under Ornithorhynchus anatinus (platypus). RNAcentral's name for it is "Oan-Mir-1422-P16_3p (mature (guide))". Lineage: Eukaryota; Metazoa; Chordata; Mammalia; Monotremata; Ornithorhynchidae. The record is from RNAcentral.